This 787-nucleotide ribosomal RNA is filed under the name uncultured bacterium. RNAcentral describes it as "bacterial SSU rRNA". It matches the Rfam family "Bacterial small subunit ribosomal RNA", at positions 8 to 796 of the family's 1533-position model. The record is from RNAcentral.
AGAGUUUGAUCAUGGCUCAGGAUGAACGCUAGCGGCAGGCUUAACACAUGCAAGUCGAGGGGUAUAGGUUUUCGGACCUAGAGACCGGCGCACGGGUGCGUAACGCGUAUGCAAUCUACCUUUUACAGAGGGAUAGCCCAGAGAAAUUUGGAUUAAUACCUCAUAGUAUUACGACUCGGCAUCGAGAUGUAAUUAAAGUCACAACGGUAAAAGAUGAGCAUGCGUCCCAUUAGCUAGUUGGUAAGGUAACGGCUUACCAAGGCAACGAUGGGUAGGGGUCCUGAGAGGGAGAUCCCCCACACUGGUACUGAGACACGGACCAGACUCCUACGGGAGGCAGCAGUGAGGAAUAUUGGUCAAUGGGCGCAAGCCUGAACCAGCCAUGCCGCGUGCAGGAUGACGGUCCUAUGGAUUGUAAACUGCUUUUGCACAGGAAGAAACACUCGGACGUGUCCGAGCUUGACGGUACUGUGAGAAUAAGGAUCGGCUAACUCCGUGCCAGCAGCCGCGGUAAUACGGAGGAUCCAAGCGUUAUCCGGAAUCAUUGGGUUUAAAGGGUCCGUAGGCGGUUUUGUAAGUCAGUGGUGAAAGCCCAUCGCUCAACGGUGGAACGGCCAUUGAAACUGCAAGACUUGAAUUAUUAGGAAGUAACUAGAAUAUGUAGUGUAGCGGUGAAAUGCUUAGAGAUUACAUGGAAUACCAAUUGCGAAGGCAGGUUACUACUAAUGGAUUGACGCUGAUGGACGAAAGCGUGGGUAGCGAACAGGAUUAGAUACCCUAGUAGUCC